Molecule: ribosomal RNA, 496 nt
Filed under: uncultured bacterium
Lineage: Bacteria
Description: partial 16S ribosomal RNA
Rfam family: Bacterial small subunit ribosomal RNA
Source: RNAcentral
AUGAACGCUGGCGGCGUGCCUAAUACCUGCCAGUCGAGCGAACAGACGAGGAGCUUGCUCCUCUGACGUUAGCGGCGGACGGGUGAGUAACACGUGGAUAACCUACCUAUAAGACUGGGAUAACUUCGGGAAACCGGAGCUAAUACCGGAUAAUAUAUUUAACCGCAUGGUUCAAUAGUGAAAGACGGUUUUGCUGUCACUUAUAGAUGGAUCCGCGCCGCAUUAGCUAGUUGGUAAGGUAACGGCUUACCAAGGCGACGAUGCGUAGCCGACCUGAGAGGGUGAUCGGCCACACUGGAACUGAGACACGGUCCAGACUCCUACGGGAGGCAGCAGUAGGGAAUCUUCCGCAAUGGGCGAAAGCCUGACGGAGCAACGCCGCGUGAGUGAUGAAGGUCUUCGGAUCGUAAAACUCUGUUAUUAGGGAAGAACAAAUGUGUAAGUAACUAUGCACGUCUUGACGGUACCUAAUCAGAAAGCCACGGCUAACUACGUG